AUCAAUCAACACCUGAAAUGAAAAUUUAAAUCAAUCCAGAUGAAGAGAGAGGCGUGUAGAUCUGCAGACCUCUUAUGAGAUUCCUGUGGUAAGAAUCGAAAGGUGAAAGAUUGGUAGAGGGGACGGAUCUGGGAGGUGAAGAGGAGGAGCCGCCGCCAUCGGAGAGGGUAUGGUCUCGGGAAAGGGCGAAGGAGGUCGCGGUGGAAGAUCUCUGCGAAAGAGAAAAGAGCCUCCUUCCUGCUACUCGCAGCAUCUCUGCUCAAUGGGGAAUCUAGGGUUUCGAGAACAGAGUAGUCCUGAGGUUAGGGACGGCCAAUGCAACAGAGCGAAGAGUCUUCCCGUAAAAUUAGUCUUCUAGGAAAGAAAAGGUCAAAGCUUUUUAAUAUUUAUUCAUCCUGAAUAAAAUAUGUUUUUUCAGUUUGAUCUUUGAUGAGAGAUUUUGUUGUUUUACAAAUAUAAUUGUUGUUUAAUUAUAUUUUCGAUACAUUUAAAAAAAAAAAAUUCUUUAGGAUAGUCAAUUAGUCAUUUUUAUGUUUCUGUCACAAAUUAAGAAAAAAAUGACCAAUUUUUUUUUAUUAAAAGGUAAAAAUAUAUUUAUAUCCUAAGACUAAUUAAUUUAGACUUAAAGUUUAGAACUAAAGGAUUGGUUUUGAGCAUAGUGUUUUAAAUUUUAAAAAGUAAAACAGAAAUAUUAAAAAUUUUAAAAUAAAAAUGAAUUAUUUUGGUCAUUUUUUUCUUUGAACGUUAUUUUUGUGACAAAAACUUUAAAUGACUAUUUGAGAGAAUUGAAUUUUUUUAACAUUGACUUGUUUUUAUUAUAAAUUAUAAAAAAAAAUUAUUACAUUUGCAUUUUAUAAGAAUUUUUAUUUACAAAGUACACCAUAAUAAAAAAAAUACCCUAAUAAAAAUUGAUGUCAUUUUUUUCAUUUAAUCUAAUUUGACUAAACUUUUUGAUGUAUAAGUAUUAAUGAAUUAUUAUUUAACUACUAGAUAAAUUAUGUUUAACCUGACAAAAAUAUAUAUAUACUGUACACACAUAUUCAUCCAUAUCAAUUUGAGAACAAUGGUGUAUUUUAAAAAUCAAACCCAAACUUUAUUAAGAAGAGGAUCUUGUCUGCAAUGACAAUAACUAAUGAAUAAAAUGUAUUUGGCUUGCCAAAUUAAAAAAAAAAAUCCAAUUAAGCUAUUCAAAAUACAAAACUGUUUUCAAACAAUAAACACAUACAUCGUUUCAUUCACCAGAUGGGACAGAUGCUAAGUCAUACAAUGACAAGUUUGUAUUAUUCAGUAAAACCAAGCACAAUCGUUUACUUGCUGAGAAGACCAAAGUGUGAGGAAAGCGUACUUGCACUUAGCCAGAAAGUAUAUAUAAAAGAAAAACAAAAAAACAAAUGAGGAUCUUUGAGACACAAACACUGUCUGACGUGCGUUUAUUCAUCAACCAAUGAGUAACUUGUUCUCUUCCAAGAAGCUGUAAGUUGGUACUUCCAAGUUGUAAGGUGCAGGACCUUUCCUGAUCCUUCCAGAGAUGUCGUAAUGCGAACCGUGACACGGGCAAAACCAGCCACCAUAGUCACCAGCAGUGGCAGGUUCAGAACCAAAACCAACCUCGUUUCCUUGAGUAAGGACUUGAGAAGAAAAACCUGAUAAUAGCAUGAAAAAACAUUAAUAUGUUCACAUCAAAGCAAACUUUUUUUCAAUCACCACAAUCAAUAUGUGACCUUUAACGAGUGCAUGCCGUAUAAGAAUAAUGCAGGAACAUGAGAGACUAAUUGAAACACAUACUAUACAACAACAUCAAAUUCAUUACCCUAAUCAACUGAAAAUCAAAAAUUACAAAUUCAAUAAGCAUAUGAAAGAAACGCUUAAAACUCCAAAGCUAAAAUCGCAAAAAAUAGCUCUUUUGGUGAACAAAAAGUUCCUCAGCAUGCCCUAUUAAACUGCUAUAAAAUACCCCAAACCAAGUAUGCAGCUAGAACAUCCAUCUCCGUAAUAAUGAAGAAAACACAAAGACCAAAACUUUAGAGACCAAUAACCAAUCACAUUAUGAAUAACCCUCAGCUAAAUAUUGUAGAAAAGAAGACCUAAAGAUCCAUCGAAACAAACACUCUACAACAAUACCAAAUUCAGUGAAAACUAAACUACUCUAGAACAUCCAUCUCCCUAAUAAUGAAGAAACAAAAGGAUACACAAAGAUCAAAACUUUAUAGAGUCCAAGAAGCCAAUCAGCCUAUCGUGAAGCUUCUCUCAUCAAAGGAAGGAUAAUCUCAGAACUAAUCAAUCAACUCAAAAUGUUUAUUUCUUGCUGCACGAAAGAAGCAAUCAUACAAGGCAAAGCUAUUCCGGUAAGGAGUAGAAUGAAAGGAAAUGGUACAUCAAUCAAGCUCUAGUACACGGUCCUAGAUUCAUGGAAACCAAACACAACACGUAGAUACGAUAGUAAGAAUCUCAAUCAUUACGGGACUCAAUACAAACAAAACAAACAAAAAAAACGAAUUUUUACAUCAUUCAAUCAAUCAAUCAACACCUGAAAUGAAAAUUUAAAUCAAUCCAGAUGAAGAGAGAGGCGUGUAGAUCUGCAGACCUCUUAUGAGAUUCCUGUGGUAAGAAUCGAAAGGUGAAAGAUUGGUAGAGGGGACGGAUCUGGGAGGUGAAGAGGAGGAGCCGCCGCCAUCGGAGAGGGUAUGGUCUCGGGAAAGGGCGAAGGAGGUCGCGGUGGAAGAUCUCUGCGAAAGAGAAAAGAGCCUCCUUCCUGCUACUCGCAGCAUCUCUGCUCAAUGGGGAAUCUAGGGUUUCGAGAACAGAGUAGUCCUGAGGUUAGGGACGGCCAAUGCAACAGAGCGAAGAGUCUUCCCGUAAAAUUAGUCUUCUAGGAAAGAAAAGGUCAAAGCUUUUUAAUAUUUAUUCAUCCUGAAUAAAAUAUGUUUUUUCAGUUUGAUCUUUGAUGAGAGAUUUUGUUGUU
Molecule: long non-coding RNA, 2962 nt
Filed under: Brassica napus (rape)
Lineage: Eukaryota; Viridiplantae; Streptophyta; Magnoliopsida; Brassicales; Brassicaceae
Description: long non-coding RNA (BNAP_LNC001075)
Source: RNAcentral